This is a long non-coding RNA of Dicentrarchus labrax (European seabass), 3144 nucleotides long. RefSeq lists it as uncharacterized. The transcript is spliced from 3 exons. Lineage: Eukaryota; Metazoa; Chordata; Actinopteri; Moronidae. The record is from RefSeq and is a predicted model, not a curated record.
UUCAGGGUGUAAAGAUCUGUGGUAAAUCACAUAGUUUAUUUCUGGACAGACAAAAAGGGGUUUGCAAAUGUGGAUAGCAGAGGAGGACUGGUUGGACUGAUGUUGAACUCAGGGUUGUGUUUACAUGGUGCUACUUCAGCAGAUCAAGAAGACAGCGGAGAGUGUGGUUACCUCUGCUGCCAGCCAGAUGUAUUCACUUUUAUAAAAAGAAAAAAAGCUUUUCUGUUUUCGGGAUGGAAAUGAUGAACUGAACAGCAACAGAGGACUUCAGUGAUCAGCAGCUGAAGUGUCGGAGACCUCAGAAACCACGUCACCCACGAUUCCUGUGAUGCGAAUCAUGAUUUCUGUGUGAUUUCUCCCUCUUUGGUUUUCUGUUUUGAUCUCUUCAUUCUCCUUAAUCUUCACUCUUCUACUUCUACUCCGUUUCUCUCUCUGUCCAUAUUAUAUUGGACUGCUAACUUUUUUAUUUUCAAAUUGAGCGUAAGGGUUAGUAGUAGCAGUCAGUAGCUUGUGUUGCUGCUGUAAGUGUGCUACGAUAGUUUGUUCUAACUGUAACUUUUAAAGAUAGGGUGUCUCUUGGAGUUGGAACCGGUCAGCUUGACAGCGAGCCUGUUAGUGAUAACACUAGCAUAGCCUUGUUGGCCCAGAGCCUGGUCUUCAGUCCCCCCUUCUGCUCAGCCCUGUUGGUAGUUCUGUUGGCCUGCGCGCUUCUUCCACAUUCGCCAACAGGGUUUAACAAUGCACAGCGUUAGUCAUGGAGACUCAAUUAUCAGCUACAUUUGAUCAGCAUCACCAGCCACUGUUUACUGCAGAGUUUCCAACAUUGAGGCUAAUCUGACGGUGUUGACAGGGGGAGAAUCAGGGAACCCAGGCACAUGCCACCACCAACUUUAGCAUCAUCGUAAUCCAGGUCGGCAUUAAUAAGAUGAAUAUGAAGCACUCAGAGAUUACAAAACAAAGCCUAGCCAGGAUGUUGAAUCAGCAUCGAUUCAUUGAUUCUGGUCCUUUACCCAUGAGGGUUAAUAAUGAAAAGUACAGUAGGCUUACUACACCGAACUGCUGGCUGGCUCAUUACUAUAGUGAGCAGCAGUGGGUGUUUGUACAAGUAUUUUCUCGUUUUCAGAUCUCCUUUGAGCAGUUAUGAGCUGCGGUAUCAGAAGCUCUAAUCGAUCUGAAAUCUCUUCUAUCUGUUCAAUUUCUGUGUCACAGACAUUACCUCACCGAUCGGCUGUGAUGUCAUCCCAUCCCUCUCCCUCCCUGAGGUCUUUUCUCCCUCUCGCUCGAUCUGACUCUCGUCGUCUUUUUCCUUCUCUAUUUGGCUCUGUCUCUCAUCGCACCUCUGCUUCUCCUUCCUCCUCCGUCUCUCUCUCUCCAUCGUCUUUCUGUCUGUCUCCCUCCCCCAGUGGUUACAGUGCAGCAGCAGAAACAGAGCACACACAUUUUAAGAUACGUGCCUGCAAGUCUGUAUACAGCAUAUUCAUACAAAUGCAGUAUGCGUGCAUAUGGAAACACAUACUGAAAUUUACAUGCACAAAGACACAAGUGCACAUGCAAAAAUAUGCACACGGACUCACACAUUGUUACUUAAAGUCAUCUAUUCUACAGAGCAGCUACCUUAACUGUUCAUUCAGAAUAAAUGUGAUGGAUGAGGCAGCGUGAAGGUGUAGAAAGUCAGCAAGGGCAUCAUUUUCAUUUCAAUUUGGGGAGACAUCUAACAGUCUUUGCCAAUGAGUGUGAAGUGUCCUAAUGGGAUACGAUUACAGUGUGAAAUACACUGAAUAGUGUCACUUAACGUGACAUGCUGAGGUGAACAGUAUGUUGAGAAACACAAGAUACAGUAGCUAUGAUUCUGAUUGACAUACAGUUAAUAAAAAAUAAAAUCUACAUUUGUGUUAGCGUACUUUAAGAAUGAAGGUUUCUUGUUUGUAUGAGUUGUACUGUAAUGUAAUGUAAUGCAGUCUAAUAUAUUUGUUGUACAAGAAAAAUGCAAAGAUACAGAUUCACAGCCUCUUUGUUACUUUACGAGCUACAUCAGCUCUCAUCCCGAAGAAUAAAUUAGAGAUGAAUUCAGAUAAAAACAUCAACUGGAUCAGAAUCAGUCCGUCAUGUUUACCAGAGUCAUGAUGUUAAAAAUGACUCUACAUUACAAAUGCAUUACUUUAGUCUGCACGCUGUCAUUUGGACUUUAUUCAGAAAUUCUUCAAAUAUUUGACUCUCCACAGUAGAAGAUAAUAUGUCCGGUUGCAGUUGCACCUUUGCUUCGUCACACCACUGUGGCCGUACCAAUGUCCAGAUGUGGAAGAGUCUGUUUUCCAGCUGGCAGAUUUCCGGUAAAGCUCUGUGGCAUUUAUUGUGUAUGUUUCAUGAGCCUAAAGAAUACAUUUGCAGUUAAUUUAGUUGCUGUACAUAGCAUUGCAUGGUCUAUCUUUACAGCUGUAGCAUUUAAACAAGAAAAACAUCAAUAACAAAUACAUUGUUAAAUACAACUUUCAUGUUAAUUGUUAAUAAAUACAGACAUUUAUAUACAUUCCCAUCUGAAUCAAAGUUUCACAGUUGAGAGGUUGGCAAGCUAAAAUAGACCCAGCUCAUAAAGCAGAGAGAAGGGGCGCUCCAUUCAUGCAUCCAUUGGUAAUUGGCACACUGAGUAGAAGGGCGAUGUCAGCAGAUGUUCCUCAGCAGCUGCACCUGAACAUGACACAGCCUAGUCUUGUAGACACUGAGGCUAGAACAGGGACACAAAAACCAAAGCCAGUAUCUAGUGACCAUUAGAAGGUUUGCAUCAGCACUAUCAGCUUGUUUUUAAAUUGUUUUUUCUUUUACUUUAGUCUGAAGUCUGCUGUUGCGACUACAUAUGCCUCUUGAUCUUUCAGCAUCAUUACACUCUCACUGUUUGCUGUCUGUAUGGGUAUUUGUGUGGCUGAAUGUCUUGUCUUGAAUGUCUGUCUGAGGUGCUCAGUUCAGCUGUGCGUCUGUGUGUGUUUGCUCUCUUAAAGACAACUGGAUACAAUGAUUUUACAUAGCGGUGGAUUCAAAUGUCACCCCACCUAGAAGCUUUAUCUCUCUGCCUCAUUAUUUUUUAUUUGGGUGUAACAUUGUGUGUUUUAGCUUAUAUUUCUGCGCUAUGAUUCACUGAACAUUUGUGUG